CCUACGGGUGGCAGCAGUGGGGAAUAUUGGACAAUGGGCGAAAGCCUGAUCCAGCCAUGCCGCGUGUGUGAAGAAGGCCUUCGGGUUGUAAAGCACUUUCAGUGGGGAAGAAAGCCUUGGGGCUAAUACCCUCGAGGAAGGACAUUACCCACAGAAGAAGCACCGGCUAACUCCGUGCCAGCAGCCGCGGUAAUACGGAGGGUGCGAGCGUUAAUCGGAAUUACUGGGCGUAAAGCGCGCGUAGGCGGUCUGUUAAGCCGGUUGUGAAAGCCCCGGGCUCAACCUGGGAACGGCAUCCGGAACUGUCAGGCUAGAGUGCAGGAGAGGUAGGUAGAAUUCCCGGUGUAGCGGUGAAAUGCGUAGAGAUCGGGAGGAAUACCAGUGGCGAAGGCGGCCUUCUGGACUGACACUGACGCUGAGGUGCGAAAGCGUGGGUAGCAAACAGGAUUAGAUACCCCUGUAGUC
This 465-nucleotide ribosomal RNA is filed under the name Vreelandella stevensii. Its description in RNAcentral is "partial 16S ribosomal RNA". It matches the Rfam family "Bacterial small subunit ribosomal RNA", at positions 338 to 795 of the family's 1533-position model. The record is from RNAcentral. Lineage: Bacteria; Pseudomonadati; Pseudomonadota; Gammaproteobacteria; Oceanospirillales; Halomonadaceae.